CAAGUCGAGCGAACAGAUAAGGAGCUUGCUCCUUUGACGUUAGCGGCGGACGGGUGAGUAACACGUGGGUAACCUACCUAUAAGACUGGGAUAACUUCGGGAAACCGGAGCUAAUACCGGAUAAUAUAUCGAACCGCAUGGUUCGAUAGUGAAAGAUGGUUUUGCUAUCACUUAUAGAUGGACCCGCGCCGUAUUAGCUAGUUGGUAAGGUAACGGCUUACCAAGGCGACGAUACGUAGCCGACCUGAGAGGGUGAUCGGCCACACUGGAACUGAGACACGGUCCAGACUCCUACGGGAGGCAGCAGUAGGGAAUCUUCCGCAAUGGGCGAAAGCCUGACGGAGCAACGCCGCGUGAGUGAUGAAGGUCUUCGGAUCGUAAAACUCUGUUAUUAGGGAAGAACAUACGUGUAAGUAACUAUGCACGUCUUGACGGUACCUAAUCAGAAAGCCACGGCUAACUACGUGCCAGCAGCCGCGGUAAUACGUAGGUGGCAAGCGUUAUCCGGAAUUAUUGGGCGUAAAGCGCGCGUAGGCGGUUUUUUAAGUCUGAUGUGAAAGCCCACGGCUCAACCGUGGAGGGUCAUUGGAAACUGGAAAACUUGAGUGCAGAAGAGGAAAGUGGAAUUCCAUGUGUAGCGGUGAAAUGCGCAGAGAUAUGGAGGAACACCAGUGGCGAAGGCGACUUUCUGGUCUGCAACUGACGCUGAUGUGCGAAAGU
This 720-nucleotide ribosomal RNA is filed under the name uncultured Staphylococcus sp. Its description in RNAcentral is "bacterial SSU rRNA". It matches the Rfam family "Bacterial small subunit ribosomal RNA", at positions 58 to 760 of the family's 1533-position model. Lineage: Bacteria; Bacillati; Bacillota; Bacilli; Caryophanales; Staphylococcaceae. The record is from RNAcentral.